AAAGGAAUUGACGGGGACCCGCACAAGCGGUGGAGCAUGUGGUUUAAUUCGAAGCAACGCGAAGAACCUUACCAGGUCUUGACAUCCCUUGACAACUCCAGAGAUGGAGCGUUCCCUUCGGGGACAAGGCGACAGGUGGUGCAUGGUUGUCGUCAGCUCGUGUCGUGAGAUGUUGGGUUAAGUCCCGCAACGAGCGCAACCCUUAUUACUAGUUGCCAGCAUUCAGUUGGGCACUCUAGUGAGACUGCCGGUGACAAACCGGAGGAAGGUGGGGAUGACGUCAAAUCAUCAUGCCCCUUAUGACCUGGGCUACACACGUGCUACAAUGGCGUAUACAACGAGUUGCCAACCCGCGAGGGUGAGCUAAUCUCUUAAAGUACGUCUCAGUUCGGAUUGUAGGCUGCAACUCGCCUACAUGAAGUCGGAAUCGCUAGUAAUCGCGGAUCAGCACGCCGCGGUGAAUACGUUCCCGGGUCUUGUACACACCGCCCGUCACACCAUGAGAGUUUGUAACACCCAAAGCCGGUGGGGUAACCUUCGGGAGCCAGCCGUCUAAGGUGGGACAGAUGAUUAGGGUGAAGUCGUAACAAGGUAGCCGUAGGAGAACCUGCGGCUGGAUCACCUCCUUU
Molecule: ribosomal RNA, 629 nt
Filed under: Weissella cibaria
Lineage: Bacteria; Bacillati; Bacillota; Bacilli; Lactobacillales; Lactobacillaceae
Description: bacterial SSU rRNA
Rfam family: Bacterial small subunit ribosomal RNA
Source: RNAcentral